CCUAAGCAGGUUUUGGGCUGUUGGUGCGGAGUCCUAUGUGGCGCUCGAUCCCACGAACCGUGAGACCAUGACCUGAGCCGAAAUCAAGAGUCGGACGCUGAGCCCACUGAGCCACCUAGGCGUCCCGCCACAUUUCUUUCUUAACUAGUGGAGGGUGUUUUGUUUUUGUUUUGAAGAAUUACAGGUAGAGCCACGAUUUCAUCCUAGUGGAAGGACAUAUCGUCCACCAGUCCUCAGGCGGCUUGAGUUCCCUGCUCUAGGAAACGGAAACAAGGACCACUUUCCAUUCUGCAGUGAUUCGGAAGUUCAGAGCAGUGAUGUCUGACACAACUUCCCUCCAUGAGUCCCCAGCCUCCCACGUGACAGCAAAGAACUGCAAACCAAUGGAUCACCCAAGAAAUGGUGAAUAAUGUCCACUCGAAGACUUUAAUCAUUGACUUCAGAGCAACCUUGGACACGUAUGUCCAGGUUCAGGAGCAAGUGAGGAAGGACGGUAGCC
Long non-coding RNA from Prionailurus viverrinus (fishing cat), 499 nucleotides. RefSeq lists it as uncharacterized. The record is from RefSeq and is a predicted model, not a curated record. NCBI's taxonomy places the organism in Eukaryota, Metazoa, Chordata, Mammalia, Carnivora, Felidae. The transcript is spliced from 3 exons.